AGCGGUGUCGGGCCGUCUAUUGUUUUCGCACUUUGAAUUUUCAUGUUUUUCGUAAGCGCGCGUUUCGGUUUUCAUUCGUGAUUCAUCGCGUAUUCCGUUUUGUCGGGGGAAUACCAAAAAAGAUGUGCCGUCGUUUGAAAAGUCUCGCGAAACGGUGCAAAAAACGGAUCGACGCGUUCGAGAGGUUCGAACCCGGGACCGGACGGGUCGGCACGUUUCGCGAGCGCCGCUGCGCC
Non-coding RNA from Cinara cedri, 236 nucleotides. The record is from the annotation of a GenBank genome assembly. Lineage: Eukaryota; Metazoa; Arthropoda; Insecta; Hemiptera; Aphididae.